Molecule: ribosomal RNA, 253 nt
Filed under: uncultured bacterium
Lineage: Bacteria
Description: partial 16S ribosomal RNA
Rfam family: Bacterial small subunit ribosomal RNA
Source: RNAcentral
UACGAAGGGUGCAAGCGUUACUCGGAAUUACUGGGCGUAAAGCGUGCGUAGGUGGUUCGUUAAGUCUGAUGUGAAAGCCCUGGGCUCGACCUGGGAAUGGCAUUGGAUACUGGCGAUCUAGAGUGCGGUAGAGGGCAGUGGAAUUCCCGGUGUAGCAGUGAAAUGCGUAGAGAUCGGGAGGAACAUCUGUGGCGAAGGCGACUGCCUGGACCAGCACUGACACUGAGGCACGAAAGCGUGGGGAGCAAACAGG